CCAAUGGCAAGCAGUCAACUCCUAUGUAGAUCUCCGCCAGCUUCUUCCUUCCCCUUUGUCCGCCCCGACUUCCCUGAUCUCGCCGUCCUCCUCUUUCAGAUCCUCCCCCUCCCCAUCCACGACCGCGCGACCUCCCCAUCCAUGGCCAUCUGCCCCUAUGCAUCCCGCAACCGCCGCGGCGACAUCCUCGUCCCCAGAGGCGGGGACUUCCCUUAAGGCGAACCUAGUGCACGUGGCGCCGGUACCGUUGAUGCGGGUCGGGCGGCGGUCAGAUCUGCCACGGCCAGAACCGGCGUCCUCUUCCUCCCUAUCCAGCUUCCUCCCAUGGCUGAGAAGAGGGCUUCGUCAAGGAUCCCAUGACGGAGGUCAACGUGGGAGGCUGCUUCCUCCGAUCCCAGAUCGACCAUCCGUCGAUGGAGGCCAUGAGAGCCACGUGGGCACACACAUGGCUGCGCUUCAAGCUCGAUAGAUGCAGGGACGCCGCCAUGGAACAGUCAGGGCCUCCCUUCUCUUCCCGUUUAGUCCGAUCCGCCACUGCCAGCCAUUUCCGGCGCCCUUGCACCAAAGCGGUGAAGGGCACAAUGAUGAAUUCAACGCAAGAUCCUACUGGUGAUCCAACAGAUGGGAGCCCAACAGACGCAAACACAUCAGAUGCCUAAGAAAAGGACUGGCAAAUAAAAUAGGAAUCCAAACUUGCAAAAUUCUCUUUUACAGAACGCUAGUACUACUGGGACUCUAUGUACAAGGCACAAUGUAAUUGCUCCAAAUACGCUCAUACAAGUUGCAACAAUGAAUACUCGAAUGUUUCGAGCAAUGGGAAGUUGUUUGGCCCCGUUUGCUUGCAAGAUGUGACGCUCAUGGCAGCCACGCCCCCACAACCAAGAAUUGACUUGUAUAUCCAGUGCGUGCUAUAGAAAAAAUCUCAAGAUGGAAGAUCAUCGAAGGCACUCAAUAUUUAUAUUCUACGACUGAUGCAGAAGUGGUCAGUGCAAUCCAUCUAUCCUUGAUAACAGCGUACAAGGCUCCAACCCUCAUCUGCCAACUUUAAAUAUGUGUUUUACAUCUAUUUUAAUGACUCAUUGGAACAUAAAACUCUAUAAUAUCAAAGUUAGUAUUCAUAUGAUUUUCGCAUUGUUUUUGAGUAUCUCGGAAGCUCUGACUCAUGUCAUUCCAUCAUUUCUUUAUUCACUACUACAUUGAUCCUUCUACAUCAAGUUCAUCUUUGUCUUAGUUGAUAGCAUCAAUGCUAUAACUUACAAACAUGUCAAUCUCCCUCGGACCAACAAAUUUCCUUCCCUGGUAGAUGGCUAGACCGUUGUCGAUGACUCCAAGGGAUGACUCUAUCACCAAGGUGCAAACCUAGGGUUUAAUUCCAACAAAAAUAGGAACACGCAUUUUAUCAUUGAUUCUAGCACACCCCCUCUAACUUCAUUUCAAGACUAUGAAUCACACAAAUAUGUGAAAAUGGUAGGUGAUGUCUCUUGGCCAAAAAUCAUGUCUUUCGAGCAUCACCCAAGUUUUUUUUCGAUAUCAUCACCCUAGGAUUUUUUAGAUGAUGAACUCAGAAAUAUGGAAAACAUUCGGAUGAAUGAAUGGGACAUAACCCAUAUCAUAUGAGACAACUAAGAUCUUCUCAAAAAUACUCACUCCAUUGUCGUUUCCAUUUCCACCUUGCAAAUUUAAACUAGAUAAAAAUCCUAUGCUUAUUCUACCCUCCGCCGCAUUCCAUCCCUGUCGUAUGGCCCAAUCUUGCAUUGGGACAACACAACAUAAGUCAUACCGGCCGCAUCGGGGACCCGAGCGCCAUCCAAAGCCGGUGGAUGACCCAACGUACAUAGCUAAUUGUUACCGAAAAAGUAAUGAAACCACUUCAUCGUAUGCGUAUAUUUAUGGAAUUUCCCAGAACAUUCUACAGGAUAGUAGCAAGGAAUACACACUAGUUUAAAACAUGAUUACACCCCUUUCAUGAAAAUUGGAUAGAAAUCUAUAACAAACAAUAGUUAAAUACUUGUAAUACUCAUGUGAAACCACGCUUGCUUGACAAACCUACAUGUCUCUGCUUUGUAACUAUACAUAGACAUUUUAUAAGGCAACAACAAUGAAUUAUCCAUACACUAGUAUAACUUGAGUUGCUUACCGAAUUUAAUUGUAUUUCCUAUCAUAUGACAUCUUAAAUGUUGCUACGAAUUUGGUGAUUGAGAUGAUGAGGCAAAUAUGUUGCCUGGUGUAAUAACACAAGAGAGCUACUUCAGUUUGAUGCUUCUUUAGUAAUUUAUUAGCAUGAUUCACUAAUCAUGGUUGUAUAGCCAACAUUUUCCAACUUGAAGUGUUGCCAAUUAACUGACAACCGCACAUUUGUUUCAUACAUCAGGACUAUAUGAGCUGAAUUACUUUUAUAUAUUUCAGGUUUUAAGGUCUUUGGGCUCCAACGUAACAUCUUUAUAGGAACAUAUCUUCCAUUAUUGGACCCAAAAACUUUUGUUGAGGUUGUUGGGAUUGGUAAAGGGAAGCAUAAUUUAAUUAGAUUUUGUUCAAGACUCAUGCAAAACAAACAAAGGUCUAUUAGUUUCAGCCAACAUGACAAAAGGCAUAAAUUGUUCCAUGCUUGCUAGAAAAGAUGUAACCAACGCCUUAGCAGGUGAUUUCAGGAGAACUAAGGCGAAGUUAAAUGAUCAAUUUUGGGAAGCUGUUUGGCCCUAUUUUCUUGCAAGAGGGUGGCACUCAAAGCAUCCAAAAGACGUCCAGCAUCCAAGAAAUACCUUGUAUAUAUAGUGCAUCCUAAGAAAAAUUCUCAAGAAGGAAGCUCGCUAAAGUCACUCACUAUUAUGAUUCUAUCACUGUGAAGUGGCCAGUGCAUUCUAUCUAUUCUUAGUAACAACUGACUAGCUUCCACCCUCUCACUUGCAAACUUGUAAACCCCCCUCUCACUUCAUUUCAAGAGUGUGGAUCACACAAAAAUGUGAAAAUGAUAGGUGAUGUCUCUUGGACAAAAAUCAUAUCCUUUGAGCAUCACCAAUGGUUUUUUAAUUCAUCGCCAUAGGCUGAAUUUAAAAUAAAGGAUGAACUCGCAAAUAUGGAAAACAUUUGGAUGACAUAAUAGGAUGCAACCCAUAUCAAACGAGAUAAUUGAAAUGUACUGAAAAAUACUCACUCCAUUGUCGUUUCCAUUUCCACCUUCCAAAUUAAAACUGGAUAGAAACUCUAGGGUUAUUCCACCAUCCGCCGCAUUCCAUCCCUAUUGUCUGGCCCAAUCUUGCAUCUUGGCACAACAAAACGGUAAGUCGGACCAGCCACAUUGGGGACCCGAGCAUCUCACCAAGCCAGUGCAUGACCUGGCGGAGAUAACUAACUGUUUUUGAAAAGAUAAUGAAACCGACGUGGUUGUAUGCAAAUAUUUAUGGAAUUUAUCCAGAACUUUCAACAUGAUUGUACUGAGGAAUAAACACUUGUUUAAAACAUUGUUACAUCCCUUUCAUGAAACUAGGAUAAAAAUCUAUAACAAACAUAGGUGAAAUGCUUGUUAUAGUCAUGUGAAACAACUUCUCCAUGACAAACUAACACUGUCUCUACGCGGUUCAUUAUUCGAUAUCCAUGAGUUAUUCUCCUUUGUAACUAUACAUGGACUUUUUUACCAUGCGACAGCUGUGAAUUUUCAAUACACUAGUAUACACUAGUGUAACUUGAGUUGCUUACUUAAUUUGAUAGUAUUUCCUAUCAUAUGACAUCUUAAAUGUCUCUAUGAAUUUGGUGAUUGAGAUAUCUAGGCAAAUAUAUCCCCUCAUGUACUAACACAAGAGAACUGUCAAAAUUAGUUUGAUACUUCUUCACUAAUUCAUUAGCAUGAUUCACAAAUCAUGAUUUUUACAGUUAACCUUUUGCACACACCUAGUGUUGCUAAUUAACCAAUGUUCGCAUAUUUGUUUGAUACAUCAAGGCUAUAUGAGCUUAAUUACUUUUGCAUCUUACAAUUUUAAGAUCUUUGGGCUUGGAACUAACAUCUUUACAGGAAUGUCUCUUCAUCGUGAAAUCCACCAUUCGACUAAAAACUUCUAUUGAGCUUGUCGUUAUUGGUAAAGGGAAGUAUAAUAUGACUGGAUUUGUACAGGACACAUCCAAAACAAACAAAGGUCUAUCGGUUUCCGCUACUUCUUGAGCUUGAGUUGGUUUUUCCCUUGGAGAGGAAAGGGUGAUGCAGCAAAGUAGAGAUAAGUAUUAACCUCAGUUGAGAACCAAGGUAUCAAUCCAGUAGGAGGAACAUACAAGUUAUCAAUGGUUGCACCUACACAAACAAACAAAUACUUGCACCCAACGCAAUAAAGGGGUUAUCAAUCCCUUCACGGUUAGUUGCAAGGAUGAGAUCUGAGAUACAAAAGAUAAGUAAAAGAUCAAAAUAAGAUAAAGGUAAAUAAAUUGCGGCAAGGUAUUUUUGGGUUAUUGAAUUUGUAGAUCUAAAAAUAAUAUGAUAAAAGAUGGACCCAGGGGCCAUAGUUUUCACUAGAGGCUUCUCUCUUGAAAGAAAGUAUAUGCUGGGUAAACUAAUUACUGUUGAGCAUUUGACAGAAAAGCGCAUAGUUAUGACAAUCUCUAAGGCAAUGAUCAUGAAUAUAGGCAUCACGUCCGUGACAAGUAGACCGACUCCUGCCUGCAUCUACGACUAUUAUUCCACACAUCUACCGCUAUCCAGCAUGCAACUAGUGUAUUAAGUUAACAAGAACGGAGUAACACCUUAAGCAAAAUGACAUGAUGUAGAGGGAUAGGAAACUAUAUAAAUACCUGUCAUGUCCCUUUCUAUCACUGGGAAUAAGCACCGCAAGACUGAACCCAUUAAAAAGCACUGCUCCCAUGGCAAGAAAAAUCAAUCUAGUUGGCCAAACUAAAUCAAUAGACCAGAGAGAAACACAAAGCUAUAUUAAUUAUGCAUAAAAGAGUUCAGAGAAGACUUAAAUAAUAUUCAUAAAUAAUCUGAUCAUAAACCCACAAUUAAUCGGAUCUCAACAAAGGCACCGCAAAAGAAGAUUACAUCGACUAGAUCUCCAAGAACAUCGAGGAGAACAUUGUAUUGAAGAUCAUAGCGAGAGAAGAAGCCAUGUAGCUACUAGCUAUGGACCCGUAGGUCCGUGGUAAAAUACUCACACGUCAUCGGAAGGGCAACAAGGUUGAUGUAGAAGCCCUCCAUGGUCGAAUCCUCCUUCGGCAGGGUACCGAAAAGGCCUCCAGAUGGGAUUUCACGAGGACAGAAACUUGCGGAGGAGGAAAAGUAUUUUGGUGUGCCCUCUGGUCUACGAGGAAUAUUUGGGUAUUUAUAGAUGAAGAAUUAUGGUUAGAGGAGCGACGAGGGGCCCACAAGCAUGGGGGCACGCCCCCUAGGGCUUGCCCCCUAAGCUUGUCAUCGCCUCGUGGCCCAUCUGGCCUCCUCUCGAAGCUUCCAGGGUGUGUUGUGGUCCAAGAAAAAUCGUCAAAAAGUUUCAUUCCAUUUGGACUCCAUUUGGUAUUGAUUUUUUGUAAAGGCAAAAAUAAGGAAAAAACCGCAACUGGCACUUGGCACUAGGUUAAUAGGUUAGUCCCAAAAAAUGAUAUAAAAUAGCAUAAUAAUUCAUAUAAAACACCCAGAGAUGGAUAAUAUAAUAGCAUGGAACAAUAAAAAAAUUAUAAAUACGUUGGAGACGUAUCAAGCAUCCCCAAGCUUGAUGGCAUGUUCGAGUUGCACUUUCUGACUUAUACUUCAUGCAUGUGUGCUUGUGUGCUAAGCAGGAUCUGCAUAUAUGGGUUGUUAUGGCCACCAUGUAAAGCUUUGAUCGUAGCCGUUUUCUUUGCAUGUCGUCUAGUUUGAAAUUGUGCAUGGUGUGGUUACAUAUCCUUAUGCUUUUAUGAUUGCAUGCAUGUCGAGUCGUAUUCGUGGUUGCCAAUGUCCUUGAUAGAAACCAUGAAUAUUUCCUUGUAUACACUGAGGUCUAUCCUUGUACUCUUGGGUAUAUCAGACAGAUUUAAUAGCAAGAUAUUUUUACCUGACAUGUUGCGCUGGUCACACAUGUCAAUACUGUAUGUAAGUUUAUGUCUUAAAUCUCAGUCGUUGAUACAAAAAAUGAACAACCACUAUAAUUUAAUCUAUGUGGACAGACAUAAUCGCUUGUUUGUCUUUCUUUAAUAAUAAUAUAAAAUAGAUAGAUGUGCCGUCACUCCAAAUUCCACCACUGAACCCAAAAUAAAUAGUUGAGGUUGUUGGGAACGAAAGCAUGCUUUGACUGGAUUUGUUCAGGACACAACCAAAAUAAACAAAGGUCUAUUAGUUUCCGCCGACAUGCCUAAAGGCAUAAAUUGUUCCAUGCUUGCUACAAAAUUAAUAGUCAAUGCCUAAAUAGGUAAUUUCGGGAGAAGUAAGGAGAAGUUAAAUGAUCUAUUUGGGAAGUUGUUUGGCCCCGUUUGCUUGCAAGAGGUGGACUUAGAGUAGUCAAAAGACAUAUGCACAGCCAAGAAUUACCUUGCAUAUCAAGCACCUACUAUAAAAAAAAUUCUCAACAAGGAAUCUCACCAAAGGCACUCUCUAUUUCUAUUCUAUCACUGAGUAUGAAGCGGCAAGUGCAUUCUAUUUGUCCUCAAUAACAACGUACUAGGCGCCACCCCUCCUCCACUAGCUCCAAAUAUGUGUUUACAUCUAUUUUCGUGAACUCGUUGGUACAUAAAACUCUAAUGUCAAAGUUGGUAUUAAUUUGUUUUCCCCAAUGUUUUCGGGUAUCCGGUAGGCUCUGACUUAUAUUAUUCCGUCAUUCCUUUAUUAACUACUACAUAGUCUCAUCUACAUAAAAUUCCUGGUUAUCUUAGAGAAUAGCAUCAAACAUGUCAAUAUCCCUCGGAACUACCAUUUUCCUUCCCUAGUAGAUGGCUAAACCAUCGUAGAUAACUUCGAGAUAUGAAUAUAUCAUCAAGUAUGCUAGAACUUUGACAAAAGACAUGAAAUGCAAACGUAGGGUUUAAUUACAACAAAAAGAGGUACACCCAUUUUAUCAUUGCUUCUUGCAAACCCCCUCUAACUUUAUUUCAAGAGUGUGAAUCACACUAAUAUGUGAAAAUGGUAGGUGAUGUCUCUUGGGCCAAAAAUCAUCUCUCUCGAGCAUCGUCCAAGGAUUUUUUGAUAUCAUCACCCUAGGUUGAAUUUCAAAUAAACGGUGAACUCCGAAAUAUUGAGGACAUUUGGAUGACAAAACAGGACGCAACCCAUAUCAUACGAGACAAUUGAGAUCUACUAAAAAAUAACAUCCAAAUUUUAGUUUGAUGAAUCUUCACCAUUUUUUAGCAUGAUUCCCUUCAUGAUUAUACAAUAAAACUUUUCUGCACGCCUAGUGUUGCCGAUUAACCAACAUUCUGAUAUUUGGUUCAUACAUCAUGACCAUAUGAGCUGAAUUACUUUUUAAUAUUUCAUGUUUUAACUAACAUCUCUGGAAUGCACCAUUGGACCAAAAACAUUUGUUGAGCUCGUUAGGUUUGGUAAAGGGAAGCAUGAUUUGACUAGAUUUGUAGAUGACACAUCCAAAACAAACAAAGGUCUAUCGGUUUCUGCAAACGCGCCUAAAGGCAUAAAAAUGUUCCAUUUUUGCUACAAAAGACAUAUUCAAUGCCUUAAGAGGUGAUUUCAGGAAAAGUAAGGCAAAGUUAUCUAUCUUUGGAAGCUCUUUAGCCCCACUUACUUGCAUGAUGGCGGCGCUUAGAGCAACCAAAAGACGUCUGCACAACCAAGAAUUACCUUGUAAAUUUCGUACCUGCUAUAAAAAAUUCUCAAGAUGGAAGUUCACUGAAGGCACUCACUAUUUUGAUCUUAUCACUGAUGAUGAAGUGGUCAGUGCAAUCCAUCUAUCCUUAAUAAUGGAAUACAAGGCUCCAACCCUCCUCCGCCAACUUCAAAUAUGUGUUUUACAUCUAUUUUCAUGAACUCAUUGGCACAUAAAACUAUCUAAUAUCAAAGCUAGUAUUCAUGUGUUUUUCGCAUUAUUUUUGAGUACCUCCUAGACUCCGACUCAUGUCAUUCCUUCAUUUUUUUAUUCACUACUACAUUGUUCCUUCUACAUCAAGUUCCUCUUUGUCUUAGUUGAUAGCAUCAACGCUAUAACUUACAAACAUGUCAAUCUCCCUCGGAACAAUAAUUUUUUGUCCCCCAUAGAGAGCUAAACCAUUGUUGAUGACUCAAAGCGAUGAAUCUAUCACCAAAUAUACUAAAGCUUUGACAAGAGACAUGAAAUGCAAACAUAGGGUUUAAUUCCAAAAAAAUAUGUACACAAAUUUUAUCAUAUCUUCUAGCAAACCCCCACUAACUUCAUUUCAAGAGUGUGUUUCACGCAGAUAUGCUAAAAUGGUAGGUGAUGUCUGUUGGCUGAAAAGCAUGUCUUUCGAGCAUCACCCAAGGUUUUUUCGAUAUCAUCAGCCUAGGUUGAAUUUAAAAUAAAGGAUGAACUUAGAAAUUUGGAGAACAUUCGGAUGAUAAAACAAGACACGACCCAUAUGAUAUGAGAUAACUGAGAUCUACUCAAAAAUACUCACUCCAUUGUCGGUUCCAUUUCAACCUUCCAAACAAAAACUAGACUGAAAUCUUAGGGUUAUUCCACCAUCUGCCGCAUUCCAUCCCCUUUGUCUGACCCAAUCUCACAUCUUGACACAACACAACGGUAAGUCAUACGAGCCGCAUCGAGACCCGAGACCUCCAAAAGUCGGUGGAUGGCCAGCCGGAGAUAGCUAAUUGUUUUUGAAAAAAUAAUGAACUCAACGCGGUUGUAUGUGAAUAUUUAUGGAAUUUUUCCAGAACAUUCUACAUGAUUGUAGCGAGGAAUAAACACUUGUUUAAAACAUUUUUACUUCCAUUUCAUGAAACCAGGAUAAAAAAUCUAUAACAAACGAAGGUGAAAUACCUGUAAUAGUCAUGCGAAAUCACCUCGGCUUGACAAGUCAACAUGUCUCUACGCGGUUCAUUAUAAGAUAUACAUGAGUUGUUCUUCUUUGUAACUACACAUGAUUGUACAAUCAACCUUUUCCACACACCUAGUGUUGCCAAUUAACUAACUUUCUCAUAUUUGUUUCAUACAUCAUGACUAUAUGAGCUGAAUUGCUUUUUCAUAUUUCAAGUUUUAAGGUCUUUGCGCUCUGAACUAACAUCUUUAGGAAUGUGUCUUCACUCCAAAUUCUACCAUUCGACUAAAAAGUUAUGCUGAGGUUGUUGGGAUUGGUAAAGGGAAGCAUGAUUUGACAAAAUUUGUUCAGGACACGUCCAAAACAACCAAAGGUCUAUCUAUGUCCCCAAACAUGCCUAAAUGCAUAAAAAUGUUCCAUGCAUGCUACAAAAGACAUAGGCAACUCCUUAACAUGUGAUUACAGGAGAAGUAAGGUGAAGAUAUCUAUUCUGGGAGGCUGUUUGGCCCCAAUUGGUAUCAAGAUGUGACACUCGUAGCAGCCAUAAGAUGCCUGCACGACCAAGAAUUACCUUGUAUAUCUGGUGCUUGGUAUAAAAAUACUAAAGAUGGAAGAUCAUCGAAGGCACUCAAUAUUUCCAUUCUAUGACUGAUGCAGAAGUGGUCAGUGCAAUCCAUCUAUCCUUAAUAACAGCGUACAAGGCUCCAACCCCUAUCCGCCAACUUUAAAUAUGUGUUUUGCAUAUAUUUUCAGGACUCGUUGGUACAUAAAACUAUAUAAUAUAAAAGUUAGUAUUCAUGUGUUUUUCGCA
Triticum aestivum (bread wheat) is the source of this 9703-nucleotide RNA transcript. RefSeq lists it as uncharacterized. Lineage: Eukaryota; Viridiplantae; Streptophyta; Magnoliopsida; Poales; Poaceae. The transcript has 5 exons. The record is from RefSeq and is a predicted model, not a curated record.